This 492-nucleotide ribosomal RNA is filed under the name uncultured bacterium. RNAcentral's name for it is "partial 16S ribosomal RNA". It matches the Rfam family "Bacterial small subunit ribosomal RNA", at positions 29 to 507 of the family's 1533-position model. The record is from RNAcentral.
AGUGAACGCUGGCGGUAGGCCUAACACAUGCAAGUCGAACGGCAGCACAGUAAGAGCUUGCUCUUACGGGUGGCGAGUGGCGGACGGGUGAGGAAUACAUCGGAAUCUACUUUUUCGUGGGGGAUAACGUAGGGAAACUUACGCUAAUACCGCAUACGACCUACGGGUGAAAGCAGGGGAUCUUCGGACCUUGCGCGAUUGAAUGAGCCGAUGUCGGAUUAGCUAGUUGGCGGGGUAAAGGCCCACCAAGGCGACGAUCCGUAGCUGGUCUGAGAGGAUGAUCAGCCACACUGGAACUGGGACACGGUCCAGACUCCUACGGGAGGCAGCAGUGGGGAACAUUGGACAAUGGGCGCAAGCCUGAUCCAGCCAUACCGCGUGGGUGAAGAAGGCCUUCGGGUUGUAAAGCCCUUUUGUUGGGAAAGAAAAGCAGCAGGUUAAUACCCCGCUGUUCUGACGGUACCCAAAGAAUAAGCACCGGCUAACUUCGUG